GAUGAACGCUGGCGGCGUGCCUAACACAUGCAAGUCGAGCGAACAGAUGAGGAGCUUGCUCCCCUGACGUUAGCGGCGGACGGGUGAGUAACACGUGGAUAACCUACCUAUAAGACUGGGAUAACUUCGGGAAACCGGAGCCAAUACCGGAUAAUAUAUUGAACCGCAUGGUUCAAUAGUGAAAGACGGUUUUGCUGUCACUUAUAGAUGGAUCCACGCCGCAUUAGCUAGUUGGUACGGUAACGGCUUACCAAGGCAACGAUGCGUAGCCGACCUGAGAGGGUGAUCGGCCACACUGGAACUGAGACACGGUCCAGACUCCUACGGGAGGCAGCAGUAGGGAAUCUUGCGCAAUGGGCGAAAGCCUGACGCAGCAACGCCGCGUGAGUGAUGAAGGUCUUCGGGUCGUAAAACUCUUUUAUUAGGGAAGAACAGAUGUGUAAGUAACUAUGCACGUCUUGACGGUACCUAAUCAGAAAGCCACGGCUAACUACGUG
RNAcentral lists this ribosomal RNA (497 nucleotides) under uncultured bacterium. RNAcentral's name for it is "partial 16S ribosomal RNA". It matches the Rfam family "Bacterial small subunit ribosomal RNA", at positions 28 to 507 of the family's 1533-position model. The record is from RNAcentral.